Molecule: ribosomal RNA, 374 nt
Filed under: uncultured Alphaproteobacteria bacterium
Lineage: Bacteria; Pseudomonadati; Pseudomonadota; Alphaproteobacteria
Description: bacterial SSU rRNA
Rfam family: Bacterial small subunit ribosomal RNA
Source: RNAcentral
AGGCCCUAGCUUGCUAGGUGUCCUUAGUGGCGCACGGGUGAGUAACACGUGGGAACAUACCUUAUAGUACGGAAUAACUGCGGGAAACUGUAGCUAAUACCGUAUACUCCAGUAAUGGGAAAGAUUUAUCGCUAUAAGAUUGGCCCGCGCAAGAUUAGCUUGUUGGUGAGGUAAAAGCUCACCAAGGCUUCGAUCUUUAGCUGGUUUGAGAGGACGAUCAGCCACACUGGGACUGAGACACGGCCCAGACUCCUACGGGAGGCAGCAGUAGGGAAUAUUGGACAAUGGGGGCAACCCUGAUCCAGCAAUGCAGCGUGAGUGACGAAGGCCUUAGGGUUGUAAAACUCUUUCAUCGGUGAGGAUAAUGACAGUAG